AACGCGAAGAACCUUACCAAGUCUUGACAUCCCCCUGACCGGUCCGUAACGGGACCUUCUCUUCGGAGCAGGGGAGACAGGUGGUGCAUGGUUGUCGUCAGCUCGUGUCGUGAGAUGUUGGGUUAAGUCCCGCAACUAGCGCAACCCUUAUCUUUAGUAGCCAGCAUGUAGUGGUGGAAGCUCUAGAGAGACUGCCAGGGAGAACCUGGAGGAAGGUGGGGAUGACGUCAAAUCAUCAUGCCCCUUAUGACUUGGGCUACACACGUGCUACAAUGGCGUAAACAAAGGGAAGCAGCCCUGUGAAGGUGAGCAAAUCCCAAAAAUAACGUCUCAGUUCGGAUUGUAGUCUGCAACUCGACUACAUGAAGCUGGAAUCGCUAGUAAUCGCGAAUCAGAAUGUCGCGGUGAAUACGUUCCCGGGUCUUGUACACACCG
Molecule: ribosomal RNA, 435 nt
Filed under: uncultured bacterium
Lineage: Bacteria
Description: bacterial SSU rRNA
Rfam family: Bacterial small subunit ribosomal RNA
Source: RNAcentral